Podarcis raffonei (Aeolian wall lizard) is the source of this 607-nucleotide long non-coding RNA. RefSeq lists it as uncharacterized. The transcript has 3 exons. NCBI's taxonomy places the organism in Eukaryota, Metazoa, Chordata, Lepidosauria, Squamata, Lacertidae. The record is from RefSeq and is a predicted model, not a curated record.
GAGGACCCUCUCACUGGGGUGGGGCUGCUCGUAAAAGCUUAGUACGCAUCGCAAAAGAAAAGCAGAUUUCAGCAAAGACACGAACAGCCAGUCCACCUCGGCCGCAGGGUCCCUUCUCCCACAGAUAGAGAACCCACAUCAUAGAGACACUCCUCCCAACCAGCAGCCCCAAAAAUGUGACUUAAGCAAGUCAUACGACGUUCACUAUCUGGGAAACAUCCGAAGUAGGUUGGCACCCACCCAACCACCCAGGUCUGCAACUAGAGGACAACCCAAUAACAAUAACUGGUACCUGAAAUAAGAAAGGUCAUCGCCAGAAGUCUUUGCAGCACAACUGUUGCAGCUCUCCAUCUCAAUGCGAUACCCUUCAUGGUCUGAAGGUGACAGUUUCCUGAUGAGUCGUGGAGGAAAAGGAAAAGCAGUCUAUUAUCUGACUUCCAGUCUCCAAACCUGCCUGGAGGAGAUGCUUUUAGGAUUUCCAGUUCCUUCUGCCCAUUUUGUCCGUUUUCAGACAAAUCUCACUGUGAACUGUAAGGUGGAGGAUGGGGGGAACUGUCAAAACAGCUUGCUGCUCAAAACCUCCCUUACCUCUCCCUGGCUCAGUGCC